This 488-nucleotide ribosomal RNA is filed under the name uncultured bacterium. RNAcentral describes it as "bacterial SSU rRNA". It matches the Rfam family "Bacterial small subunit ribosomal RNA", at positions 28 to 507 of the family's 1533-position model. The record is from RNAcentral.
GAUGAACGCUAGCGACAGGCCUAACACAUGCAAGUCGAGGGGCAGCAUAAAGGUAGCAAUACUUUGGUGGCGACCGGCGCACGGGUGAGUAACGCGUAUGCAACCUACCUGUAAGAGGGGAAUAACCCGUUAGAAAAACGGACUAAUACCGCAUAACACUGUAGAACCGCAUGGUUUGACAGUUAAACAUUUAUGGCUUACAGAUGGGCAUGCGCAUGAUUAGCUAGUUGGUGAGGUAACGGCUCACCAAGGCAACGAUCAUUAGGGGUUCUGAGAGGAAGGUCCCCCACACUGGUACUGAGACACGGACCAGACUCCUACGGGAGGCAGCAGUGAGGAAUAUUGGUCAAUGGGCGAGAGCCUGAACCAGCCAAGUCGCGUGAAGGAUGAAGGUUUUAUGAAUUGUAAACUUCUUUUGCAGGGGAAUAAAGUGUCCGACGUGUCGGAUUUUGUAUGUACUCUGCGAAUAAGGAUCGGCUAACUCCGUG